This is a long non-coding RNA of Cannabis sativa, 3001 nucleotides long. RefSeq lists it as uncharacterized. The transcript is spliced from 3 exons. The record is from RefSeq and is a predicted model, not a curated record. NCBI's taxonomy places the organism in Eukaryota, Viridiplantae, Streptophyta, Magnoliopsida, Rosales, Cannabaceae.
CCUAUUAUUUAUUUGUUCUAAAUUGCUAUGAUUAACUUGUUGACAAAUCCAAUUAUUUAAUUUUAAUCAUAGUCCAAUUGUCAAUAGAUCUUAUAAAUAAUUUAUAACAGGUAAAUUUUGCGAUUUCUUUCAUCUGUGUAAACCUAGAAACUGUUGGGUUUUAUGCCCUAAAUAAAACUCUUUACAAUCUGAUUAGUUAUCAAUAUAAGAAAUUUGAAGUGAUUGAUGUUUGCAUGAAUUUUACAUGUUAAUAGUUUAAUAUGUUUAUUACAUUCAUACACACAAAAUCAGUUAAAUCCAGAUCAUAUGUUUAUUCACAAUUACAGUAUCGUCAACACAGUGGAAUGUGAUUGUGAUCAUAUGAAUCAAAAGACUUGGUCCCUGUUUCAUCAGUGUUAUUGGAUUUACACUAAUGUGAUAAUCAGCGAUGAUGUGUACUUACACUUGGAGUAAGUGUUAUGUUCUUUCCAGGACAUUAGUAAAGUAUACUAGUUUCGAAUGUAUGGAGUAUACAUUGGACUGGACCGAUAUUGCAACUAAGUUAAGAUAUUAUAAACUUACCGUUAUACAUAUCUUUCCAAGUCAAUAUCAGUAGUUGAUCUUAAGAUUAAAAGAAUCUAAAUCCUGAUAUGCUUAGGCUCAACUCAGGAGUGCUAUUCAUGUUCUUUGAUUUAUUAGUUAAGCCUACUUUUGGGUCAGGGUGAUACGUAUAUUUUGGGAACAUGAUAGUAUGAUUGAGUGGGAGUGCUGAACAUAAAUAUGGAAUCUAUAGCUUCUACUGGUGUAUAGAAGUCAAGUGAUGAUUCCCUUCGAGCUUAGCAAAUAGAAGUAAAUGGAUGAGCUCUUGUUUAACUGACUAAUUAUUAGAUCACUAAACACCAUUUACAGGUAGCUAAGUGUUUUAAGGGGCAAAAUACAUUGAGGGGUGAGAACGGUAAAGAAAUCCCAUCUCGAUGUAGAUCAUCUAUAUAGAGGAUCUUUAAAUCACAAUAAGAUUAUAACAAUGGUUAAAUGAGAUAGCAUAUUGAUAUCAUGGAACAUACAAUAUGCUCUAUAUAAGUCUGAGAGUGCAAUUCUAAGUUCUAAGAGUGGAUUCAACGAAUAAUUAAUAAGUAGGAAUUUACUUGGUAAAUUUGGUUCACUUAUUGGAAGCUCAGCAUAUAGAUCCAUGGUCCCCAUUCUAGUUGAGAAUAUUCUGCUUGUAAGACUCAUUAAUUGAUUCGUGAUUGAUCAAUUAUAAUUCUAAAGUUAGACUAUGUCUAAUUUUAUGAAUUUUCACUAAGCAGGGGUGAAAUUGUAAAGAAAAGAGUUUCUAGGUUUAUUUAUUUAUUAAUGGACUUUAUAUGUCUAAUUAAUGAUUAAAUUAAAUGACAAUAUUAUUUAAUAAUCUAUUUUAGUUAUUAAAUAAUUAGUUUUGGCAUUUAAAAGGUUAGAAUUGGAAAAUUGGCGUUUUUGAGAAAAUAGAGAUAAAAUUUGAUAAAACUGCAAAAUCAAGUGAGGCCCAAUAUAACACCAUGGUCGGCCACUUAAUGUGGGAUUUCAAAUUAAUAUUUUCAUUAUUUUAAUGCCAAAUAAUUCCUAUCCUAUACCUAGUUGUUGCCUAUAAAUAGAAAGUGAUGGCUCGGUCACAAUACAUGCUUUCAUUAGUAAUCUGACAGAAAUUUCUCUCUUCAGAAAAACUGAGCCUUCCCCACUUUCUAUACCUGGCCGAAACCCUCUCUCCUCUUUUCUCCUUCAUCAAUUUCGACCCUAGUGAAAGAGUAAGUGCCCACACACAGCAAGCAGUAACUCAAUCAUAGAUUGGAAGACUGUGAAUGAUCAAACUUGAAGAAGAAGGACAUUCGGGCUCAGAUCUUGAUUAUACUCUGCUACAGAAAGGAUACAAGGGUUAGAGAUCUGAGUGGAAGGAGACAUUAAUUCCGCUGCAUCAAUUACCCAAUAUGACUAUGAAUAAUCCCAUGGUGUCACUAUUGACUGACAACAAGCUCUCUGGAGCUAACUUUGUCAAAUGGAAAGGGAACAUUAAUAUUGCUCUCAUUGGUGAAAAUGCCCUGUUUGUGUUGACUGAAGAGGCUCCUGAGCAGCUAGGUGAGAAUGCGACCAAGGCAGUCAAGGAAAAGUUCGAGCGUUGGUAGAAUGCCAACAACAAAGCUCCAUACUUCAUGCUGUCUAGCAUGGUUGACACCUUGAAAACAAGGUUUGCCAAUACUCCCACGACUGUAGAUAUCAUGAACCAGUUAACUGAACUGUUUGGGAUGGCGUCAGAUCAAGCUCGUUUUGAGGCAACCAAGAAUUUUAUCAAUGCACGGAUGAAACCUCAUCAAAACGUGCGUGAUCACCUGCUCCAGAUGACUAGUUACUUCUAAGAGGCUAAGAAUAAUGGAGUUAUUAUAGAUCAGACAACUCAAGUGAGUUUGAUCUUGAAUAGUUUGACUCUAGCUUUUCUGCCCUUUACCUCAAAUUAUGUCAUGAACAAGUUGGAUUUUGACUUCCACGAGUUAAUCAACAACCUUCAGACAUUUGAAAAUUUGAUUGGAGGACCACAGAAAGGAGGAGCUAAAGCUCCUAGUUCUGGCACUGCUAAUGGUACGACUAAGGCCGAGGCAAACAUUGCCUCUGCUUCGAAACCCAACAAAAGAAGAAGUGGAAGAAUAACAAGAAGCUUCUUAAAGCUGUUAACACAUAUAAUAAGAAAAAGGUUGCUAAUCCCAAUGCAAAGCAAAAAGGAAAGUGCUUCUAUUGCAAUGAAAAGGGUCACUAGAAACCCCAGUGUCCUAAGUUUUUGGUAAAGAAACAAGCUCCAGCUGCUUAAACUUGGAUUGCUAUCCUUGCGAGUUGAGUCAGAUGGUUAGACAGAAGGGUAGAGAUUGUCCAAGAUUGAAGAUGAAGCUUGAAAUCUACUUUUUAUUUUUGAUUUAAUUGUUUCAAUUUAUGAACAAUUUAGUUUCAAUUAUUGGUUUGGAAUUUUAUUCCCUAUUUCAUAUUAUUGCAGACAAUUCAU